This is a small nucleolar RNA of Cavia aperea (Brazilian guinea pig), 119 nucleotides long. Lineage: Eukaryota; Metazoa; Chordata; Mammalia; Rodentia; Caviidae. The record is from Ensembl.
AUGGCCAUUUCAUUGAACAGUGCUUUCUUUUUGUAUAUGUGAGCAGUGUUAUUUCUUAUGUGUUACACAGAUAGUGAAUGGCUAAUUAGCAGACUAGCUGUACCCAUCUUCAGACAACA